RNAcentral lists this ribosomal RNA (246 nucleotides) under uncultured crenarchaeote. Its description in RNAcentral is "partial 16S ribosomal RNA". It matches the Rfam family "Archaeal small subunit ribosomal RNA", at positions 478 to 725 of the family's 1478-position model. Lineage: Archaea; Thermoproteati; Thermoproteota. The record is from RNAcentral.
AGCUCUUCGAGUGGUGUGGAUGUUUAUUGGGCUAAAGCAUCCGUAGCUGGCUAAGUUAGUCCCUUGUUAAAUCCACCGAAUUAAUCGUUGGAUUGCGGGGGAUACUGCUUGGCUAGGGGACGAGAGAGGCAGACGGUAUUUCCGGGGUAGGGGUGAAAUCCUAUAAUCCCGGGAAGACCACCAGUGGCGAAGGCUGUCUGCUAGAACGCGCCCGACGGUGAGGGAUGAAAGCUGGGGGAGCGAACC